UGGGGAAUUUUGCGCAAUGGGCGAAAGCCUGACGCAGCGACGCCGCGUGUGCGAUGAAGGCCUUUGGGUCGUAAAGCACUGUCGAGUGGAACGAAAUCUUCGGAGCUAAUACCUCCGGAGUUUGACGGUACCGCUAAAGGAAGCACCGGCUAACUCUGUGCCAGCAGCCGCGGUAAUACAGAGGGUGCAAACGUUGCUCGGAAUUAUUGGGCGUAAAGCGCGUGUAGGCGGUCCAUCAAGUCGGUUGUGAAAGCCCUUGGCUCAACCAAGGAAGUGCGUCCGAGACUGGUGGGCUAGAGUUCUGAAGAGGGUGGCGGAAUGCGCAGUGUAGAGGUGAAAUUCGUAGAUAUUGCGUAGAACACCAGUGGCGAAGGCGGCCACCUGGAAAGCGACUGACGCUGAGACGCGAAAGCGUGGGGAGCAAACAG
This 428-nucleotide ribosomal RNA is filed under the name uncultured bacterium. Its description in RNAcentral is "bacterial SSU rRNA". It matches the Rfam family "Bacterial small subunit ribosomal RNA", at positions 355 to 775 of the family's 1533-position model. The record is from RNAcentral.